Molecule: ribosomal RNA, 642 nt
Filed under: Salinibacterium sp. NSLL35
Lineage: Bacteria; Bacillati; Actinomycetota; Actinomycetes; Micrococcales; Microbacteriaceae
Description: partial 23S ribosomal RNA
Rfam family: Bacterial large subunit ribosomal RNA
Source: RNAcentral
GGUAAGUUCCGACCUGCACGAAUGACAUAAUGAUGGCAGCGCUGUCUCCAGCAGAGACUCAGUGAAAUCGAAAUCGCAGUGAAGAUGCUGUGUACCCGCGGCUAGACGGAAAGACCCCGUGAACCUUUACUACAGCUUUACAUUGAACUUUGACCUGACUUGUGCAGGAUAGGUGGGAGGCUUUGAAGCAGACACGCUAGUGUUUGUGGAGCCAAUCUUGAAAUACCACCCUGGUCAUGUUGGGGUUCUAACUCAGGUAUAACAAUACCGAGGACAAUGUAUGGUGGGUAGUUUGACUGGGGCGGUCUCCUCCUAAAGAGUAACGGAGGAGUACGAAGGUUGGCUAAGUACGGUCGGACAUCGUACGGUUAGUGUAAUGGUAGAAGCCAGCUUAACUGCGAGACAGACACGUCGAGCAGGUACGAAAGUAGGUCAUAGUGAUCCGGUGGUUCUGAAUGGAAGGGCCAUCGCUCAACGGAUAAAAGGUACUCUGGGGAUAACAGGCUGAUACCGCCCAAGAGUUCAUAUCGACGGCGGUGUUUGGCACCUCGAUGUCGGCUCAUCUCAUCCUGGGGCUGAAGCAGGUCCCAAGGGUAUGGCUGUUCGCCAUUUAAAGAGGUACGCGAGCUGGGUUUAGAACGU